This 487-nucleotide ribosomal RNA is filed under the name uncultured bacterium. Its description in RNAcentral is "partial 16S ribosomal RNA". It matches the Rfam family "Bacterial small subunit ribosomal RNA", at positions 28 to 507 of the family's 1533-position model. The record is from RNAcentral.
GAUGAACGCUCGCGAUAGGCUUAACACAUGCAAGUCGAGGGGCAGCACAAGGUAGCUUGCUAUCUGGGUGGCGACCGGCGCACGGGUGCGUAACGCGUAUGCAACUUGCCCUAUACAGGGGGAUAACCCGUCGAAAGACGGACUAAUACUGCGUAUGCUCACAACUUGGCAUCAAGUGGUGAGGAAAGAAAUUCGGUAUAGGAUAGGCAUGCGUCCCAUUAGCUUGUUGGUGAGGUAACGGCUCACCAAGGCAACGAUGGGUAGGGGAACUGAGAGGUUUAUCCCCCACACUGGUACUGAGACACGGACCAGACUCCUACGGGAGGCAGCAGUGAGGAAUAUUGGUCAAUGGGCGCGAGCCUGAACCAGCCAAGUCGCGUGAAGGAUGACUGUCUUAUGGAUUGUAAACUUCUUUUAUACGGGAAUAACAAGAGUCACGUGUGACUCCCUGCAUGUACCGUAUGAAUAAGCAUCGGCUAACUCCGUG